GUCGGCUCAGUCGGCUCAGUUUUGGUGAACACGCCCCUUGCGCCGCCGACUCCUUGAGUUCCCGGGUGACGUCAGGGCAACAGGGCGGGGUGACGUCUCGGCGUCUCCGCCUCCAUCAUGUAAAAGCCGCACUGCUGAAGAAGACUGUGGCUCACUUCGCGGAAGAGGGGGCAGUGUUGGUUUGGCAAUUAUAUGGUCACUUGCUUUCCUCCAGCAGUAUGUGUGGUUGAUUCUAAAUGUUAAACUCUUUUAAGUUAUCAUUUGUUAUCAACAUCCUUUAAAGCUACUUGGUUGAGCAUGAUUAUCAUAUUCUCUCUCUCUCUCUCUCUCUCUCUCUCUCUCUCUCUCUCUCUCUCUCUCUCUCUCUCUCUCUCUAUUAUUAUAUUAUUAUUAUUUUUUAUGGAGAUUCACCUGAUUUGGAAAUACAUUAAUUGCUUUAUUAUGGUCAGGAUGGUGAUUAAUCCAUAACCGUACUGCAGAAUGUAAACACCCUGAAUGGGACGUCAGUACGUCGCAUGUUUUGGGGAUGCAGGAGGAAACCAGAGAAAGUACAUCAAAGCCUCACGGACGUGUGGAAAACACAGACAGUAAUCCAAGCUUAAGAUCGAAUGCUGGAGCUGUGAAGGUGUCAGUAUGCCUUCAAUUUGUAAACUGAGGUUGUAUAAACGUGCAGAAGGUCAGACGGCAUGCUGCCCUAUAACUAUUUUCUCACUCAUAUUGUAAAUGUUAAUCAGUCUGUCAGUUUGCAUUAAUAAAUUAAUUCAUGUGGAUUUAUAAAGUGAAUCCAGAGUUAUCAAGAGAACACCCUGAAUUGUGGAUCAAGUGGAUUGAGUGCUGGAACGUAAAGAAAACGUGAUCAGACCAGAAAUCUUUACCCGAGUCGAUGUCAUGGUGGAUGCAGAUCCUAACCAGAUUAGAUUCAGCAGUGAAUGGAGGUUCCUUUUGGCAUCGAAAGCAGAAGGCUGUGACGUUUCAUUGGCAAUCAGAUCGAAAAAACAUGUGUAGUCAAGGUGAAUACAUGCAGAUCAGCACUUCUGAAAUCUCUGUAUCAACAUUGUAUGAGACCCAUGAGGAGGAAUCUCUAUGGAAACAAUAUAUAGAGGAGCUUAGGGAGGAGAGAAAAGUUACCUCCUAUGUGCUGCCUUUGUGCUAUCACUUAUUGAACAAGAUGAACAAAGUUGCGGAGGAGUCUGAGGGGGCGAAGGCGUUAUAAAUCUUGACCUUUGCUUUCAAAACAUGCAACAAUCAUGACCUUGGUUCAAUGUGCAGAAGAAGACUGGCAUUCAAAAGCAACUGCCCUUCAGGCACGAAGAUCAUCUGUUGAGAGGAAGGCGCAGAAGUAAUCACUUUAUCCUGCUCGGAUCAUGGUGGAUCAGGAGUCUAUCCUGGGAAAAGUCAUGGGAAGAACACACCAUGAAUACAUGAGUAUACUGUCUUAUUCACUCAUUCACACCUUUAAACACCUGAAUGUAGCCAGUUGAAUUUUUUUUUUUUUUUUGGAGGAGGUGUAAAAUAUGUGAUGUUCUCAUGCAAUGUAAGAUUUGAGACUCGAAGGUGCAAGGUUAUUCUAAAACCCACAGACCUUGCUUGCAUUUUGCACUCUAUAAAAUAAAGCUUUUCCUUAGUUUCUUAUUCCCUGGGGAAACAAUUAAAGGCUAUUUGUAGAAAAAACGGCAACAUGUCGCAUGUUUAAUUGGCAUAAAAAUGCAUUUCUGAAGCUGCAUCGAGCUAAUUUCAUGGAAGAGCUAUGCAACAAUUUUAACCAGUGUCACAUCGGCUUUUCUCAUCAAUUGUGGAUGGAAUGAUGCUUGAAUGUUUUGUAAGUCUUCUACAAUUUAGUUGCCACCACCAACAUGAUGAGUGGGAUGAUUUGGAAGCCAUUAGAAAAAAAGAAAACAUGUAAAUCAAAGAGCGCAAUCCUGGAUGCAGAGUACAGAGACCUUUGUAUUCAGACAUGAACACAAUACAGUAUGUGUUAUAAACAUAAAAUACAAGAAAACAAACAUGUGCUGUGUUAAUUAAUAGCUUAAUUAAUUAACUUAUGCAAAUCAUUUUAUCACAGGAAAAAGAAAAGUUUUUAUCAUAAUUUUAAAAAGCUUGUGGGAGUCAUUUCUGUAGCCAAAUACAGUAUUCAAUAUUUUAUAAAAGACCGUACAUAUAUAUAUAUAUAUAAAACAUCCCUAAUGUUUAAUGUUUUAUUAGGUGAUAUAUACAGCCAGGCAGUGCAAAAUAUACUGCUUAUUACUGUUAUCUGCACAUCUUGCUAUGAAUGAGAAACAACGAUUGUCCUUUGAAUUGCAUUUGAAUGAAAAAUAAUAUUAAUGUGUCACAGUCAUGCUGCUUGCCCGUGUACAUCACCGCAUGUAACAUCUGUGUUCUGAGACAGAACAGUGCAGGAACAAUUUGUUGUGUGCAUGUAUAAGUAAUUCAUCACAUUGUUUUCCGGUAGACCUGAAACACACACACAAAAUAUUUUAUAUAUAGGCUCCCUAUGCAACAACAGCUAAGACACAUCAAUGCAUGGACUCCACAAGAUCUCUGAAGGGGUGCUGUGAUAUCUGUGGUAUCUGGCACCAUUUGGUUAGCAGCAGAUUCUUGUACUGUAUGUUGUGUCCUGUAUCUUGAGUCCUGUAUGUUGUGUUUUUGGAUCAGACUUGUUUGUCCAACACAUCCCACUGAUGCUCGAUCAAUUCGAGUUUUGGGGAAUUUGGUAAAGUCAACACCUUUGACUCUUUGUCAUGUUUUUUUUUUCUGCAGUGUGGUUGUGUGCAUUAUCCUGCUGUUGAAUUGCUUCAAAAGGGUUGUACUUGGUCUAUACAAUGUUUAGGUAGGUGGAACAUGUCAAAGAAACAUCCACAUAAAUGACAGGACUCAAUGUUUCCCAGCAGAACAUUGCCCAGAGCAUCACACUCUGUGUCAGAUUGCCCACUUACCAUUGAGCAUCCACUUCGAGAACUGACUAUACACUUGCUACACUAAUGUAUCCCACCCCUUGACAGGUGCCAUCGUGACAAUAUGAUCGUUGUCAUUUACUUCACCUGUCUAUGGUUUUAAUGUUAUAGUUGAUAUACCUUUCUCAAGUCUAUUUUCCUUACAAAUACGUAAUAUGUAAUAUGUAAUAUCUACUUUCUCUAGACAUUGUAGUACCUAAAAUAUUUUGGAAUGCCUAAAUUUGCAUGGCAAGGCAUUUAAUAUUCAAUCUGUACUUUUUAGACUAUACAUUUUGCCCCCAAAAAAUCGCAGAUGUCUGGAUGUAGAUUUAGAUCCCUUAUAAGCAAAGCUGAAGAGAUACUGGCUAUAUUUACACGCAACGCCACAGUAUUCAUUCCGAAUAGAUUAAUUCCGAGUGCCGAUUCUGAAUGAACUGCUUAUACAUAUCCUUUAUUUGCAAGUUAGACGUAAUCCGAUACAAAGUAAUCAGCAUGCGGGGAGUGGGAUUUAGUGUCAACAUUACCAUAACAACAAGUAGCACAUGAAACCAGACAGAGGGUGCCAACAAUAUCGCAUCCAAGUGUAAUUACUGAAUGCAAGAUGAAGAGAAGAUGAUCACCUUGUCGUUAAUGUUGCAUUGUGAAACAAGGAUUCUCUCGUUGA
Molecule: long non-coding RNA, 3594 nt
Organism: Tachysurus fulvidraco (yellow catfish)
Lineage: Eukaryota; Metazoa; Chordata; Actinopteri; Siluriformes; Bagridae
Exons: 5
Source: RefSeq, a predicted model, not a curated record